RNAcentral lists this long non-coding RNA (776 nucleotides) under Phoenix dactylifera (date palm). RNAcentral's name for it is "long non-coding RNA (PDAC_LNC017872)". The record is from RNAcentral. Lineage: Eukaryota; Viridiplantae; Streptophyta; Magnoliopsida; Arecales; Arecaceae.
CUAGCUAAAUACAUCAUGAUCACUCCGUCCCAUAAUCCCUAUAAUCACAUGUCAUCACCUGAAAAAAAAUAUAAAUAAUAAGAGUGAGCUAACAGCUCAGUAGGCGACAUCAUGCAAUAAAGUCAUCAUAUAACAUGUCAUAAUGCAUAUAAAAGCAGCUAAACUCAUAAAUCCAAAAAUCCACACAAUAAUCUGUAAACCCGAUCCGAGACUCAAAAUAUCUCAACCGCAUGACUACGGCCACAUCACCCAGUGGCAUGGUUACACCGAAGUGCCAAUACAACUCUCCGAAGAGCCGCUCCACUGAGCCAACGCACCACUGUGCCGCACCCCUUGGUGCCAAACUCACGCUCCACUGAGCCAACGCACCACUGUGCCGCACCCCCUGGUGCCAAACUCACGCUCCACUGAGCUGCUCCGAAGAGCAAAAUGCACCCCUGUGCCGCCACUAUUCUAUCACCGGUGGUCGCGGUGUCGGAACUAGUUCCUCAGUACAAGUCGACAGGGCCAACGUAUCAUCCCAUUGGCGGGGUCUAGACUAUAGUCACGCGGAUUUUGAAAAUCAAUAAAUCAACUUUCUGUAUCAAAAUCAUAAUCAUACUCCCCACAGUAAAGCGCAUAACAAUUUAUGAAAUUAAAUAUUUAAUUUUAAUUCUAACACAUAUUGCUAAUAAUAAAUCAAUAAAUCAACAUAUGCAAGAUACAUGUUAGAAUUCUACUUUAAAGCAACGGUCACCUACCUGGGUUCGCUUAAAAAUUCCUGCCACAGAUAUCAC